UCGGUAAUUCCAGCUCCNAUAGCGUAUAUUAAAGUUGUUGCAGUUAAAAAGCUCGUAGUUGGAUUUGUGGUGCGUUUGCGGCGUCCAUUUAUUUGGUUCUGCCGCGAGCGCGCCAUCCUUGGGUGGAUCCUGUGUGGCAUUAAGUUGUCGUGCAGGGGAUUCCCAUCGUUUACUGUGAAAAAAUUAGAGUGUUCAAAGCAGGCUUAUGCCGUUGAAUAUAUUAGCAUGGAAUAAUAAGAUAGGUCUUUGGUCCUAUUUUGUUGGUUUGCGGGCCAGAGAAAUGAUUAACAGGGACAGUUGGGGGUAUUCGUAUUCCAUUGUCAGAGGUGAAAUUCUUGGAUUUCUGGAAGACGAACUACUGCGAAAGCAUUUACCAAGGAUGUUUUCAUUAAUCAAGAACGAAAGUUAGGGGAUCGAAGAUGAUUAGAUACCAUCGUAGUCUUAACCAUAAACUAUGCCGACAAGGGAUUGGCGGGGUUCGUUACGUCUCCGUCAGCACCUUACGAGAAAUCACAAGUUUUUGGGUUCCGGGGGGAGUAUGGUCGCAAGGCUGAAACUUAAAGAAAUUGACGGACUGG
This 578-nucleotide ribosomal RNA is filed under the name Craticula accomoda. Its description in RNAcentral is "SSU rRNA". It matches the Rfam family "Eukaryotic small subunit ribosomal RNA", at positions 576 to 1164 of the family's 1831-position model. Lineage: Eukaryota; Bacillariophyta; Bacillariophyceae; Naviculales; Stauroneidaceae. The record is from RNAcentral.